AUGGCCGCCACCGGCACCGCCACCAGGCAGCAGCAGCCGGCGGCGGCGGUGGUCGUGGACCCCAAGUUCGAGUGGGCGGAGAAGGCCGGCGCCUACGUGCUCCGCCUCACCCUGACCGGCUUCCGGAAGGACGACUUCCGCGUGCAGGUGGACGGCGCCGGGAGGCUCACCGUGCGCGGCACCAGGCCGGGCGCCUCCCUCCACAAGGUCUUCCAGCUGCCCGCGACCGCCUGCCUCGACGACAUCGCCGGCCGCUUCGAGGCCGGCGUGCUCACGCUCACCGUGCCCAAGCGCGCCGGCAUGCCCGCCGCCAAGCCGACGCCAGCCGCAGAGGUCGAUGGCGCCAAGAAGAUGACCGGGGAGGAGGGUGCUGCUGCUGCCAAGCUGACGCCACAAGCAGAGGCGCCGGCGGCGAAGAAGGAAGAAGAAGUGAAGCCCAAGGCACCCCAGCCAGCAGCAGCCGCGCCGACACCGGACAACCCCGCGCCGAAGGCAGAGGUUGCCAACGGCGAGAAGGCCAAGGCGGCGGUUGACCCGGAGACGACGAGGCGGCGCGGCGAGGAGGCGACGGCCAUGGAAGCAAAAGCGGAGCAGGCGAAGAAGGCGGUGGCGUCGACAUGCACGGCCUGGAAGGAGCGCAUCGCCGGGGAGCUCAAGGGGCUGGCGGACAUGAAGUGGGCGGACAACGCGGUGGAGACGGCGAGGAAGAACAAGGAGGUGGUCGCCGUCGGCGUCGCCGCCUUCUCCAUCGGCUUCCUCGUCGCCCAUAAGCUCUUCAGGAAGUGA
Molecule: ribosomal RNA, 786 nt
Filed under: Triticum aestivum (bread wheat)
Lineage: Eukaryota; Viridiplantae; Streptophyta; Magnoliopsida; Poales; Poaceae
Description: partial small subunit ribosomal RNA
Source: RNAcentral